RNAcentral lists this ribosomal RNA (397 nucleotides) under uncultured bacterium. RNAcentral's name for it is "partial 16S ribosomal RNA". It matches the Rfam family "Bacterial small subunit ribosomal RNA", at positions 523 to 918 of the family's 1533-position model. The record is from RNAcentral.
AUACGUAGGUGACAAGCGUUAUCCGGAUUUACUGGGUGUAAAGGGCGUGUAGGCGGUUUAGCAAGUCAGAAGUGAAAUUCCCGGGCUUAACUUGGGCGCUGCUUCUGAAACUGCUUUACUUGAGUGCUGGAGAGGAUAGUGGAAUUCCUAGUGUAGCGGUAAAAUGCGCAGAUAUUAGGAGGAACACCGGUGGCGAAGGCGGCUAUCUGGACAGUAACUGACGCUGAGGCGCGAAAGCACGGGGAGCAAACAGGAUUAGAUACCCUGGUAGUCCGUGCCGUAAACGAUGAAUACUAGGUGUAGGGGGUAUCGACUCCCUCUGUGCCGCAGUUAACACAUUAAGUAUUCCACCUGGGGAGUACGGCCGCAAGGUUGAAACUUAAAGGAAUUGACGGGG